AGUAAUACCUGGGAAUCUGUUUAAGAUCAUUGACAGGCCUGAGAGUUUUCCGUACGGCCUGCACCCUAACCUCUGGGAAGAAAAUAUCCACAACGUAAUUUCUACAAGACUACAGGAAGGAAAGAGGCAACAAGGAUUCCAUUUCUACUAGGAGUAUCAACCUCUGAGAGGGAUAUAUCCAUCUCUGUGGAUGUCAUCUGGUCUGCAGAAAACCCUUUCCUGGAACUCCCAGGAAACAUGAAUCUGAUGUGGACCCUCCUCCUUUUCCUCCUUUUGGACCUAACUGUCUUGACUCCAGCCCUGUCCUUCUCAACACGACAUAUAGACAACCCCAGUUCUUGGGUCCCUAGAGGACACCACCGAUACUGUGAUGUGAUGAUGAGGCGCCGUUGGCUGAUCUAUAGGGGUAAAUGCAAGCAGAUCCACACAUUCAUUCAUAGAAUCUGACCACCAUAGCAGAUUUCUGCAGAACUCCACCACUGCCCUGUACCAACAGCCCCUCCAUGUGCAGCUGCCACAACAGUACUCAUGAUGUCAAUAUCACUGACUGCUUUGCCAGCACAGGGAUCUGACCUCUUCACUGCCACUACCAAAAAUAAGGAGUCCACGAGGCCCAUGCGAGUGGGCUGCAAGAAGGGGGCACCUGUUCACCUGGAUGGCUAGGUUCCUCCUGACACCGGCACCUGAGUGACUUGCACCCUACGCCUUCAAAUCUUUGCAGCACUGUCAAGGUGUUCUUUGUAAAUGCUUCGCCCUUUGCA
Molecule: non-coding RNA, 761 nt
Filed under: Pongo abelii (Sumatran orangutan)
Lineage: Eukaryota; Metazoa; Chordata; Mammalia; Primates; Hominidae
Source: RNAcentral